Molecule: ribosomal RNA, 301 nt
Filed under: uncultured bacterium
Lineage: Bacteria
Description: partial 16S ribosomal RNA
Rfam family: Bacterial small subunit ribosomal RNA
Source: RNAcentral
CAGCAGCCGCGGGAAUACGUAGGGUGCGAGCGUUAAUCGGUAUUACUGGGCGUAAAGCGGGCGCAGACGGUUACUUAAGCAGGAUGUGAAAUCCCCGGGCUCAACCUGGGAACUGCGCUUGUGACUGCACAGCUAGAGUAUGGCAGAGGGGGGUGGAAUUCCACGUGUAGCAGUGAAAUGCGUAGAGAUGUGGAGGAACACCGAUGGCGAAGGCAAUCCCCUGGGCCUGCACUGACGCUCAUGCACGAAAGCGUGGGGAGCAAACAGGAUUAGAUACCCCGGUAGUCCCUGUCUCUUAUAC